This is a long non-coding RNA of Cervus elaphus (red deer), 3160 nucleotides long. RefSeq lists it as uncharacterized. NCBI's taxonomy places the organism in Eukaryota, Metazoa, Chordata, Mammalia, Artiodactyla, Cervidae. The transcript has 2 exons. The record is from RefSeq and is a predicted model, not a curated record.
AAUAACCAGAUGUUAUGGUUAUUGUACUUACAACAUGGUGGUAAUGUUUAUUAUGUAAUUCUCCUUUAUGAGUAGAUGCCUCUGGAAAUUAUUUCUUUGCUCUUUCUAGGUAGAAGUUGAGAAAAUGGUGAAAAUUUAAAUCUGAAGUAUUAUGUAAUGGGUACAUAUUCAAUUAAAAAUCUUAUUUUUUUACAUUGAAGGCCACAUUGUAUCACACCUGUGAGACUAACUAGAAAUAACUGCAUGCUCAGAUAUUUAUUCUAGUAGUGGAAAUGCUACAUGUUUUCUGCUUUGCUUUGAAUAAAGCCCUUCACAGUAUGAUCCAGUUUUCUAGAUACCGGGUGCCAAGAAAAAAGCUGUCGAUUUUUAGUAUAAUAUGAGGGUAAUGACAGAGCAUGGAAAAGCUUAAUGCUCCCAGCGAAAUGAAGGGCAUUGACAUACUGAAAAAUCAGGCCUACUAACAAAAAAUUAACAAAGAUGGUAACUACAAGCUAGUUCUGCAAAAGGGAGCAGAGCUAAAAUGAGCAAAGGACAACAAAACUUCUAAAAGACAGCUGGCAAAUAAAUAGAUUAGUGAAAACAUGAGCAAAUCACUCCGCUGUAAGACCAACAGGAAAUUAGGGGCUUUGGUUGAAUAUCUGUACUACUUCAGAUUUAAUACUGUUAUGCUCCCUUUUCUUAGAUUUUUUUUUUGUCUUUGUUUUGUAUUAAAGUAAGUAUAAAGGAUAGCAAGGUUGAUGCUUUAAAAAAAAAAAGUUUCAGAUUUUUAACUGUUUAAAACAUUCUUGAUUUAUAGCAGGUUAUUUCUGAUGAGAUAAAGUGAAAGAAGGCAUAAACUAAUCCCAAAGGCAGAAAACUCAGUUUGCUUAUAAACAGUAUUUAAAAAUUAAACUGCAGAUAGUAUGCUUAGACAUAUAAUAAAUAUUCUUUAAUGCAAAAACUGUUCUGUAAUUUAGUAGUAGAGAAUUCUAAAUUUUGGGCUACGUUGGUAAUAGUUAUUUGGGGUUUUUUAGUGUCUCGACAUACUCCUUACUAACGUUACUGCCUUAGUCAUAGUUACAUCUGGCUUAAAACUUCUCCUUCUGACUAUUACCGUUGAUUCUGAAGUCCUGUGCUGGCUCACUUAAAAGCUCUCACAGGUCCGCAGAGAUUCUUAACAUUCUUUUCAGUACAAGACCGUUGAUAAAGGAUGCCAUGUAUAGUGUGUGUAUUUGUGAUCUGAUUGUUAUUGGCAGACUGGUUUCCAGAAGGAGACAGCCCUUGUAGUUUAUUUGUUGUUGCUCUUCAGGCUCUGUCUGACUUGUCAAGCAGUUAACUGGGAUAGUCUUCAUUGGCUUGGCUGCUUAAGGUAUUUAAGAUCUUAAACCAGAAGUCUGCCUUUAGGUAGGACCUUUGGUUCAGUAAUGCAGAGGGGACAUGUUUAAAACCAAAAGGAAUCUUUUUAUAGUUUGCAAACUUUAUUGCAGAGAAGAAAUUUUAUUUUGGGACUUGAGAAGAUCAUAGGUGAUGUGAUAUUAUUUUUUUUCCUAUUAGAUUUUCACAAGCAUUUACAUUGAGAUUUUCUCUUGCGUAGGGAAGCUCUUUUUAAAAUAUCUUGAUGUCGUUCAUUCAGUCCCGAAGUUGUGUCCUGCUGUUUGUGACCCCAUGAACCACAGCACGUGAGAUGCUGUUUAAGAACAAGGGUACUUGAUGGAAUCACAUUCUAAAAUUGUCAGUUUGAAACAGUUGGCAUUAUUCAUUCAUAAACCUAAUAGGUAUUUAUCAAGCACUUGGAGAGUCAGGAUAAAAGUGGUCAGUGUGGGAGUUCAGUUGUCUGGGUUUAUCUCCUGGCUUGGGCUUGUGACCUUAUGCGAGUUACUUAAACAUUUCUGUUUCUUAAACAUUCAGAUCAUAAAACCAGAUCACUGUAACAUGUACCUUGUUAAGGUUGCUAGGGCAAACUGAAGUGAUGCAUGUGAAGUUAAGUGAUUGCCAUACACUUGGUGAGUACUCAGCAAAUGUUUGUUGUCAUUUGCCAGACUCUGGCCCAGGUGCUGGGGAUGUGGUGAGCAAAAAUUAUUCCUCUGGAGCAGAGUCUCUUGAUAAUCAGAUUAGGAAAUUGGGAAAAAAUUGUUUUCUGUGUAAAAUUUAUAUUUGUUCAGCUUGUUAAAGUGCCAUUUUUGUGGUCUGAAUAUGUAUAGGUUGUGUUAAAUAUAUUUGACAGUGUUCAAAAGUGUUAUUCUGUAGAAUGAAGUUGGAUAUUUCGUUAGAGAUUUUGGUAAAGUGAGGAAGGAUCUCAGUAAUUACUGACAAAAGGGAAUUUUUGCUUAGAUGAUAUAAAUUUAGACAGUCUUAAUCGAUAGACAUUUUUGAGGGAAAGUGAUUAGGCCGCUGUUUUAUGAAAGGUGGUAAAAUUAUAUAUGGUCGUGUUUUAUUUAUUCUUGCUAUUUUCUUUGUUCUUUUUAGUUUUCUGAAAUUUUUAGGAUAAAUUCUCACAUUUGUUUAGCCCACAAUCACCUUACUUUCUGUUUAUUAAUUAAACUAAAGGUAAUCUGAAUGUUUCCACUUUUGACAAGUUAACAUAUGAGUUUACUGGUUUCUAAAAGUCAUAAAAACAGUUUUAACUACAAAGCACUAUUUUUACAUUUAUUUCAAGGCAUGUAUAGUCAAGAUUUAUAGUCCGUUUGCCUUUUAACUGUAUUACUUUAAUGAACAGGGUCAGAUGGUCGCAUUUUCUGGUGGUAGAGCGCAAGUGUAGAGCAGACUCAGCGGGGAGGAGGCCGUGAGGACGACGCUGCAGCGGGGCCCUCACUUUCCCAGCGGUGACACCACCGCAGACGGCGGGCGCUGGCUUGGUUUUGUUUUGUCCUAAUAUAUGGUUAAACUGAAGAAUUGCGAUUAGCCAGCUCAGCAGCUCCACCCGCUCCCGUUAUUAUAGAGCUCAGUCUUUUUAAACAUAUGACUGCGGUGCUAUAGAAAUAUCUGGUUUGUUUAUUAUCUUAUUUUCAGCUAAGUAAUUUAUUUGAAUAGUUAAAGGACGAUUACAUCAUCACUUUGGGAUGUUGCCAUUGUUCAAAUGUAUUUGGUACAUAACUGCUGAGAUUACUGUCAGAGGGCAUUUAAGAGAAAUCCUCAACUGUAUCUUUGUCCUUUGAAGGAGGAAUUAAUUUUGUUUUCUAGA